Molecule: long non-coding RNA, 1957 nt
Filed under: Bos indicus x Bos taurus (hybrid cattle)
Lineage: Eukaryota; Metazoa; Chordata; Mammalia; Artiodactyla; Bovidae
Description: lncRNA (ENSBIXG00005012912.1)
Source: RNAcentral
CGUCUCCCCAGGGCCCCUCCUGGCCGGGCAGCCGGGUGGGGCAGCAGGAUGGGCUGGACCCUGAAGGGCAUGGUGCCUCCAGAAGCUCCAGCUUCAGCCCCAGGACUCCUCCGAGCUGCCACCCGCCCUCCCAGCCCUCCCGACCAGGGUCUGAAGGGAUAGCGAAUUGCUGCAGCCUGGUCUGUGGGUAAUCUGCUCCUUUGUGGAAGUGCUGUGGCUCUUAAAAGCCCCGGUGAAUGCCCUUAAGGGAACGCGAUAACGCUGACGGGGAAAAUCGAGAGCCCCGUUCUCCUCCCAGGUCUGCGUUUGCGCAAGCGCGUGCGGCGCCGGGCAGUGUGGAUGUCCCGGAAGUCUUCCGCUCAGUCCGCCGCUGGACGCAGCUCGGCCCGCGGGCUGGAGGGUCGGUCCCACGGAGCACGCCGAGGCCCAGGGGACAGCGGGCCCGGGGUGCCCUUCCCUGCGGCGCCUGGUUGGGGCAGACCCGGGGGCGCCCGUCCCUCUGCCCACUUAGGUUCUUUCUGCUCUGUGAUAACGCCCUCCCCCGAUGGAUGAGAAAACCAGCUGGAAGCUCAGGCUCCAAGCUGACAUCUUUUUAAACAUUGUAUGGACACCUGCUGUGUGAUCCAGACGUUCCUCUGCGAGGGGAAGGGCCCACGUACAUGGAGCUGGGCCUGGAGGUGCAUCACGGCCUUAACAGCCCGGAGCCAACACAGCCCCGACGUCCAUCAGCCGAGCGCACAGAUGAGCCUGGCGAGUCCAAACGUGGACACCUCUCACUGAAAAACAGCACACUGCGCUGUCUUCUGGCCCAGAUGGAUGUGAGGAGGAUGUGCACUCUACUGUUGCGUGGAAUGUUCCAGACAUGUCCUUGGAGAAAGUCAACUGAUGGUCUUCAUGUUGAACUGUAUCCUCCCUGGCUUCCUGACUGCUUGUCCAUCAGUUACCAGAAGAGGGCUGUUCAAGUCUCAGAGGUGAACCUGCGCUUGCCCGUUUCCCCUCGCCAUCCUGCUGGUCUCUGCUCACCUCGGCUCUUUGAUGCUCUGUGGUUUGGGAGGCAGGGAAGGCUCUUCCAAGGCUGAGACUGUAGAAGUUAUGGGGAAGUUGCACUCACCCGGCCGCUGCUCCGUCCCACUACCAGCAAAUCCCUCUCUUAGUGGCGGGUCACCUGUGCGGAACAGUGGGCAGGGAGGAGUCUGCCUGUAGAGCUGAGUUAUUCCCCCCAGCAGUCUCCGCCCCCCUGCCCCCCAUAGAGGGUUAGUGUUGUCUCCUUCUGAGUGUCCCGGCCAUCUCUCCAGCCUGAAUCCUCAUGUAUGGAAAAGGCAGUCGGCAGGUAGCUUGGGUGAGAAAUAACCUUCUCUGUGAGCCAUAAGGGUCUGAGGUCACUGCUAUCCCAGCUGGCACAGACUGGCGCCUUGAUUCGGGUGCUGCACCCACAAACCCCAAAGCUGUGGCGUUGGCUCUGGGGUUGGUGGGGCUGUGUGAAACCUUGCCCAGACUGGUUCCGCGAGGCUCCGGAAAGCAGAGGUGGAGGCUGUGGAUGUAGGCCCAGAGGUUUGGGGACCAAGUGAGACCACAGGGCCUUGAUGGCUGCAAGGGCUGCGGGUCCUCAGGCGGCAGGAAGCAGAGGGCAGGCAGGUGGAAGCUGGUUUGCGAGCAGUGUGGAAAGGACGGGCCCACCUCGCUUUGCUGCUCUCCGCAGCUGCUGCGUUUUCUGCAGAUUGGGGGGUUUUGGCCACAGCGCGUUGCUCAAGUCUGUGCCGCUUUUUCCUUAGCAUUUGCUCACUUUGUGUCCCCGCAUCUCAGUUUUAAAUUCCUGCAGCGUUCCAAAUGCCCUUCAAUGUUUUCCUAUUUAUUACCAUGCUCAGUGAUCUUUGAUGUUUCUGUUAACACUACGAUUCACCGAAGGCUCAGACAGUGGUUAGCAUCUUUUAGCAAUAAAAUAUUUUAAAUUAAGGCA